This 674-nucleotide ribosomal RNA is filed under the name uncultured fungus. RNAcentral describes it as "eukaryotic LSU rRNA". It matches the Rfam family "Eukaryotic large subunit ribosomal RNA", at positions 24 to 664 of the family's 3401-position model. Lineage: Eukaryota; Fungi. The record is from RNAcentral.
GCGCUCUGAGCUUAAGCAUAUCAAUAAGCGGAGGAAAGGAAACUAUACAAGGAUUCCCCUAGUAACUGCGAGUGAAGAGGGAAGAGCUCAAAUUUAAAAUCUGGCUGUCUCUGGCAGUCCGAGUUGUAGUUUAGAGAAGUGUUAUCCGCGCUGGCCUGUGCAUAAGUUUCUUGGAAAAGAACAUCAUAGAGGGUGACAAUCCCGUCUUUGGCACAGAUUCACCGGGGCUUUUGUGAUACGCUCUCAGCGCAGUCGCGUUGUUUGGGAAUGCAGCGCUAAAUGGGUGGUAAAUUCCAUCUCAAGCUAAAUAUUGGUGAGAGACCGAUACACGAACAAGUUCCGUGAGGGAUAGAUGAAAAGAACUUUGAAAAGAGAGUUAAACAGUACGUGAAAUUGUUGAAAGGGAAACGCUUGAAGUCAGUCGUGUCUGCUAGGGAUCAAGUUGCCUCUGGGUGAUCCGCACUUCCUAGAUUGGAUGGGUCAGCAUCAAUUUUGUUCCGUGGAAUAAAGGCCUAGGGAAUGUGGCAUCUUCGGUUGUGUUAUAGACCUGGGUUGGAUACAAUGGUUGGGAUUGAGGAACUCAUGUGCGCCUUCAUGGUUGGGGCCUCGGCUCUACAUUAGCACACUUAGAGAUGCUGGCAUAAUGGCUUUAAUCGUCCCGUCGUGAAACACGG